CAGUAGCCGCGGGAAUACGUAGGGUGCAAGCGUUAAUCGGAAUUACUGGGCGUAAAGCGUGCGCAGGCGGUUUGUUAAGACAGAUGUGAAAUCCCCGGGCUCAACCUGGGAACUGCAUUUGUGACUGGCAAGCUAGAGUAUGGCAGAGGGGGGUGGAAUUCCGCGUGUAGCAGUGAAAUGCGUAGAUAUGCGGAGGAACACCGAUGGCGAAGGCAGCCCCCUGGGCCAAUACUGACGCUCAUGCACGAAAGCGUGGGGAGCAAACAGGAUUAGAUACCCCCGUAGUCCCUGUCUCUUAUAC
RNAcentral lists this ribosomal RNA (301 nucleotides) under uncultured bacterium. Its description in RNAcentral is "partial 16S ribosomal RNA". It matches the Rfam family "Bacterial small subunit ribosomal RNA", at positions 509 to 807 of the family's 1533-position model. The record is from RNAcentral.